CCAGGUUAGUUGAUCUUAUGGUGUCAUCUAGAAAAACAAGAGAUGCAGAUUCUGGGUCACGAAGUUGAGGCUGUGAAGCUGGGCAGGGUUUCAGCUGAGCUGAGGUUGGAAGUCCCUGACCUUCAGCUGUGGCCGCCUACGGAGCAGCAGGGAGAGCAAACCCAUGGAGAACCCCGCGGCCCCCAAAUCAUGGACGGAGCUGCCAGCCUUCUCCCCUGCCCUUCUUCCUCUACCCCCGACCUGCCAGCCUUCUCCCCUGCCCUUCUGCCUCUACUCCCGACCUGCCAACCUUAGCCUAAAAUCAGAGCUGCUAGAAUCACACACACUGUCGUAACUGGUUUUGUAUUAUAAAUGAGUCAUUCUGUUAUUUUGGAAACUUACGUCUCAUGCCAGGAUCUGCAGAUAGUUCUUUUUCAAAAUA
RNAcentral lists this small RNA (421 nucleotides) under Pan troglodytes (chimpanzee). RNAcentral's name for it is "processed transcript". Lineage: Eukaryota; Metazoa; Chordata; Mammalia; Primates; Hominidae. The record is from RNAcentral.